UGGGAGGCUUUGAAGUGUGGACGCCAGUCUGCAUGGAGCCGACCUUGAAAUACCACCCUUUAAUGUUUGAUGUUCUAACGUUGACCCGUAAUCCGGGUUGCGGACAGUGUCUGGUGGGUAGUUUGACUGGGGCGGUCUCCUCCUAAAGAGUAACGGAGGAGCACGAAGGUUGGCUAAUCCUGGUCGGACAUCAGGAGGUUAGUGCAAUGGCAUAAGCCAGCUUGACUGCGAGCGUGACGGCGCGAGCAGGUGCGAAAGCAGGUCAUAGUGAUCCGGUGGUUCUGAAUGGAAGGGCCAUCGCUCAACGGAUAAAAGGUACUCCGGGGAUAACAGGCUGAUACCGCCCAAGAGUUCAUAUCGACGGCGGUGUUUGGCACCUCGAUGUCGGCUCAUCACAUCCUGGGGCUGAAGUAGGUCCCAAGGGUAUGGCUGUUCGCCAUUUAAAGUGGUACGCGAGCUGGGUUUAGAACGUCGUGAGACAGUUCGGUCCCUAUCUGCCGUGGGCGCUGGAGAACUGAGGGGGGCUGCUCCUAGUACGAGAGGACCGGAGUGGACGCAUCACUGGUGUUCGGGUUGUCAUGCCAAUGGCACUGCCCGGUAGCUAAAUGCGGAAGAGAUAAGUGCUGAAAGCAUCUAAGCACGAAACUUGCCCCGAGAUGAGUUCUCCCUGACUCCUUGAGAGUCCUGAAGGAACGUUGAAGACGACGACGUUGAUAGGCCGGGUGUGUAAGCGCAGCGAUGCGUUGAGCUAACCGGUACUAAUGAACCGUGAGG
Molecule: ribosomal RNA, 774 nt
Filed under: Escherichia coli
Lineage: Bacteria; Pseudomonadati; Pseudomonadota; Gammaproteobacteria; Enterobacterales; Enterobacteriaceae
Description: partial 23S ribosomal RNA
Rfam family: Bacterial large subunit ribosomal RNA
Source: RNAcentral